AUGUUUUUGAUUUUAGCCAUCCUGACUUGCGUGAAGUGACGUCUCACUGUGGUUUCGAUUUGUGUUUGCCUGAUGAUGAGUGAUGAUGAGCAUCUCUUUGUGUGGACCCUGGCUCUGACGUUCCCGCAGGGAUGGGGGCGGUGUGUCUGGGACCAGGAGGAGAGGCACCAGGACUUUGUCUUAGAAUAGACUUGGCAUGCAGAGGGGGUCUGCAUCACCUUUCUCAACCAGUGGGUUUCACUCUUUGCGCAUGUGUUUUCCAGCUUCACUUCCUGAGGCAUCUGCUGCUGGAAGGGGGGUUUCCUAGACUGAAAAGUCAGACUCCAUCUUAAAUAUUAUCUUCCUCUUCUUGAACACAGGUAACACAGAGGAGUGGAUGUUUCCUGACAACCUAGUUUGAUUACAUGGUGAAAGGACAGAAGAGAAGACCAAGUCCAGCCAAGCCAACUUAAUGACUUGAUCACUGGAAUUUGGACACCACAAAGAGUUAAUAAUUGUAAAGUAUCCUGUGUAUUCUGUGGUUAUUCCAUGACCUCAAAUCAUCUCUCAAUGGUCUGAAAUGCGUGCCGCACUGGCUGCUGACAUAAGCAAGCACACUGCCUGCUGGUUCAAGGGGCUGCCCCGGGAGCUAAUUACAGACACGAGGCCGUGUGGCCGGCAGACCGCGGCUGGAUGUGAUUAGAGGGUUUUGGAGUGUUGCCAUCUGCUCACUUUCAUGGACACAGGGGAAGCAGCCAGGAUCCACGAGCAGACCGGCUGGCCCUGCUUUGAGCAUGUAUGCGUCAUCUCACCAAUGUUACUUGCCUCUGCUGGAGCUGUGCUGGACCAGGCUCCCGUCAUUUCACAACUGGGGCUACAGAAGCAGCCUCCUGGCUGGUUUUCUUGCUUCUGCUCUGCGUUUUUUGUUUUUCAAAUUUUUUAAUAUUUAUUUUUGAGAGAGAGAG
Long non-coding RNA from Lynx canadensis (Canada lynx), 944 nucleotides. RefSeq lists it as uncharacterized. The transcript has 4 exons. NCBI's taxonomy places the organism in Eukaryota, Metazoa, Chordata, Mammalia, Carnivora, Felidae. The record is from RefSeq and is a predicted model, not a curated record.